AACACAAACCAUAGCUGCUGUGCUGCAGAUUACUUUUAACUAUUCGAUCUGGACUCAUAAAGUUCCUUCGCUCCUUCCUUGGAAUAUCUUAG
Molecule: long non-coding RNA, 92 nt
Organism: Ipomoea nil (Japanese morning glory)
Lineage: Eukaryota; Viridiplantae; Streptophyta; Magnoliopsida; Solanales; Convolvulaceae
Exons: 3
Source: RefSeq, a predicted model, not a curated record